Zonotrichia albicollis (white-throated sparrow) is the source of this 316-nucleotide non-coding RNA. The record is from RefSeq and is a predicted model, not a curated record. Lineage: Eukaryota; Metazoa; Chordata; Aves; Passeriformes; Passerellidae.
ACCAGGAACAAGAUGACCACAGACAGCAAGUAGCUCUUGCCAGCUCCAAAAACACCUGGGGUUUUGGAAGAAAAAGCCCAAGUUACAAGUGAUCAUCUGAGCCACGUGAAUCAGCGAUGCUGCUUGGUCUGGGUUCAGGGAGAACCUCUGGAUCAUCUCUUCAGCCACUCCCAUUGCCACUUGAGAGCUCACAGGGCCAGGCAUCAUGGAGCACUUCACACUCAUGGCAGAAAGAAAUCUUUACUCUUUAAAUGUAGAGAAAAUGUGUUAAAUCCUGCUGAAGUCCUGGGCUACUGGAAUAUUCAUAAACCUUGAA